CGGACGGGUGAGUAAUGUCUGGGAAACUGCCUGAUGGAGGGGGAUAACUACUGGAAACGGUAGUUAAUACCGCAUAACGUCGCAAGACCAAAGAGGGGGACCUUCGGGCCUCUUGCCAUCGGAUGUGCCCAGAUGGGAUUAGCUAGUAGGUGGGGUAACGGCUCACCUAGGCGACGAUCCCUAGCUGGUCUGAGAGGAUGACCAGCCACACUGGAACUGAGACACGGUCCAG
This 232-nucleotide ribosomal RNA is filed under the name uncultured bacterium. RNAcentral describes it as "partial 16S ribosomal RNA". It matches the Rfam family "Bacterial small subunit ribosomal RNA", at positions 99 to 334 of the family's 1533-position model. The record is from RNAcentral.